RNA transcript from Halichondria panicea, 1694 nucleotides. RefSeq lists it as uncharacterized. The transcript has 7 exons. NCBI's taxonomy places the organism in Eukaryota, Metazoa, Porifera, Demospongiae, Suberitida, Halichondriidae. The record is from RefSeq and is a predicted model, not a curated record.
AUUGAUGAGAUUUACUGAAGGACUUGAAAUAGAAGGAGUCAAGCUUCGUUCUAAAAUAAUCAAGAAAAUCCUUGUCACCAAGAAAGAAUUUUGUCAGAAUGUGGAAGUAACUGAGUUUGUACUCCCAAAAACUGUCCAAUAUCCUAUCAACAUUCACCAAGCAGCAAAAAUUUCUAUCUCUGAAGUUGCACGGGCAUUUACUCACAAUUAUCCCAUUGUAAUUGAUUUAAAGCAAAAGAAUCAUCUUUUAUCAAAACUUCUCUAUUAUGAGCCUCCCCUUGAUAGCAAGUCCAUUGAGUACUUGUGGUCUGAAACGGAUGAGCAAAAAGAAGUUUCAUCUGAACUAUUGUUAAAUAUCUCUCAAUCACUUGAGAAACCAACUCAUAAAGAAAUGAGAGAACGGGGAAAAGAACUCAUUGAACAAAUUGAUUCUUAUCUAAAUCGAGAUAAGAUGUCUUAUGAGGCACUGAGAAAACUUAUUGGCAGUUUUAGUAUCUUUGGCGAUCGGAACCCUUUGAAAUUAGCCUCAGUGAAAGAACAUUACCCGGAGAUGUACGACGAAGAAUCCCCCAAUAUUAAUGCUCCCAGCUUCAGUAUAGUCACACAAAGGCUGCAGGACCACAACAUAGGAGCUGAUAACCCUCUGCAAAGCCUACCUCCACAUUCAAUAGUGAGCCAGGAUUCUCAAAUAACCAAUGUGAUUACAAUUCGAACGGUCACUGAAAAGAUUGGCUCUUCUGUUGUGUCUCUCCCAACUAGUGCACCUGUAACGUACAAUACCUCAGGACCUUGUAAGGUGACUGUGAAUGAGCUAAAGAAGGAAUUCAAUAUUAGCGAUGAUCAACUUGGCAAUAGAGUCGAAAAAUCCGACAUUAAGAACUUGGCUUCUUUUUUUGGUGAUGUAGAACUCUAUCUCCCGGGCUUAGGUCUGUGUGAAGCAGAUGAGGCAGAUGUCCGAACAGCAGUUCACCUUCAUGGCAAUCAAACUGGAAUGAACAAAGCUCUUACCAUUUGGAUUAACUCGUGUAAAGCAACUUUCAAAGAUUUGAUUUCAAUCGCUUUGGAUGUACGUAAAGCAAAUGUGGCUGAAAAGAUUUGCAACUAUUUGCAGCAAAACACAGGUUAUUUUCGUGGUUAUUUUCGUGCUCAAGCUGACCUCCACGAAAUGUUAACUUAAGCGUGGCUUACCGGAACAUAUAAAUGCAGUGCAGGCAACGAGACUAAACAAAAUUUAUACUCACGAAAAUCACCGUUCGCAUUAUACGAUUGCAGUGAAUCCAGUCUACAAAGUAGCCCACCACCCCCUAAACGACCAAGGCGUGACCCAAACAUGCGGUAGGAUUUUGAAUUAUUUGAAUAUGUACUAGCAGUAUCAUUAACUGCUGUCAAUUUUUUUGUGGCACUAUUUUAUUAUUGUUUUGCCAGGUCACUUUAUCUGAAUGUUAAUUUUGAACAAUUAUUAGCUAUAUUAUUUAUAUACCUUUUCCUUUAAAAAAGCGUGCACAUACCAUAAUUAUGUCUAUAUAAUUAUUAUAGUCUUUCUAGCUUGCUCAAGAUUUCACAGACUUAUACAUUAUAGCUAUAAUGUAUGUAUAAUCAUUAUACAGUAGUUCAAUUUUUUCAUGACCACUUUAGUUAUUGUAAUACGCCUCGUUCCAGGCCAAUUUUUCUAUAUCAAGCAUCAGCACAAUUUA